RNAcentral lists this ribosomal RNA (467 nucleotides) under uncultured bacterium. Its description in RNAcentral is "partial 16S ribosomal RNA". It matches the Rfam family "Bacterial small subunit ribosomal RNA", at positions 28 to 507 of the family's 1533-position model. The record is from RNAcentral.
GACGAACGCUGGCGGCGUGCUUAACACAUGCAAGUCGAACGGAAAGGCUCCAGCUUGCUGGAGUACUCGAGUGGCGAACGGGUGAGUAACACGUGGGUAAUCUGCCCUGCACUCUGGGAUAAGCCUGGGAAACUGGGUCUAAUACUGGAUAUGACCUUUCUCCUUAUGGGGUUUGGUGGAAAGUUUUUCGGUGUAGGAUGAGCCCGCGGCCUAUCAGCUUGUUGGUGGGGUGAUGGCCUACCAAGGCGACGACGGGUAGCCGGCCUGAGAGGGUGAUCGGCCACAUUGGGACUGAGAUACGGCCCAGACUCCUACGGGAGGCAGCAGUGGGGAAUAUUGCACAAUGAGCGGAAGCCAGAUGCAGCGACGCCGCGUGAGGGAUGACGGCCUUCGGGUUGUAAACCUCUUUCAGCAGGGACGAAGCGUAAGUGACGGUACCUGCAGAAGAAGCACCGGCUAACUAUGUG